RNAcentral lists this ribosomal RNA (427 nucleotides) under Orobdella naraharaetmagarum. Its description in RNAcentral is "partial 12S ribosomal RNA". It matches the Rfam family "Microsporidia small subunit ribosomal RNA", at positions 752 to 1303 of the family's 1311-position model. The record is from RNAcentral. Lineage: Eukaryota; Metazoa; Annelida; Clitellata; Hirudinida; Orobdellidae.
UUUUAUUAUUAAUCCAAAAUAAGAUUGGAGAUUACAAGCAAUAGCUUAAAAACCCAAGAAUUUGGCGGUGUUUUAUUCAAUUAGGGGGACCUGUACUUUAAAUCGACAAUCCACGAUAAACUCUAUCUAACUUUAAUAUUUAUAGCCUGUGUACUGCCGUUUAAUGAACUCUUUAGGUAAAUAUAUAAUCAAUAUAAAAAUAAUAAUCCAGGUCAUAGUGCAGCAUAUAGUUAGACAGUAUAUGGGUCACAUUUUAAAAAUACUAAAAAUUUAUAAAUUAAUUUUUAUAAUAAAUUUAGGACUUAAUAGUAAUUAUAUAGUUAUUUAUACUAUAAUGAAUACGAACUUAAAACAAGUACACAUCGCCCGUCACUCCUUAAUAUAGGAUAAGUCGUAACAUAGUAGAUGUAAUGGAAAUUGCAUCUGU